UUGUUUCUGAUGUGAUUUUUUUUUGUUAGUCUAGAUUGGUUUCGGAGUGUUAAUACUUGUUGAAACAAAAUGGAUUAGCUUAAUAUGAUUUUUUUUUUAGUUUUUUACAUAUGUUAGGCUUAUCUAUUGUAUUUGAUUGUAUUUAUAGUUGUAUAGAGUGAAAAUUGUACAGGAGAAAACCAUGCUUCUACAAACAAUUCUUGUAUAGCCAUCGGAAAAUUAGCAUUCCAGGUAACACCAAUAUGUU
This 247-nucleotide long non-coding RNA is filed under the name Capsella rubella. Its description in RNAcentral is "long non-coding RNA (CRUB_LNC000200)". The record is from RNAcentral. Lineage: Eukaryota; Viridiplantae; Streptophyta; Magnoliopsida; Brassicales; Brassicaceae.